This 559-nucleotide ribosomal RNA is filed under the name uncultured bacterium. Its description in RNAcentral is "bacterial SSU rRNA". It matches the Rfam family "Bacterial small subunit ribosomal RNA", at positions 364 to 917 of the family's 1533-position model. The record is from RNAcentral.
UUGGAANUGGGGGAACCCUGAUCCAGCGACGCCGCGUGUGUGAAGAAGGCCUGCGGGUUGUAAAGCACUUUUAGUGGGGAUGAAAAGCUCAGGGCUAACACCUCUGAGUCUUGACCUAACCCACAGAAAAAGCACCGGCUAACUCUGUGCCAGCAGCCGCGGUAAUACAGAGGGUGCAAGCGUUAAUCGGAAUUACUGGGCGUAAAGCGUGCGUAGACGGUUAUGUAAGUCGGGUGUGAAAGCCCCGGGCUCAACCUGGGAAUGCCAUUCGAGACUGCAUAGCUAGGGUGCGGAAGAGGGAAGCGGAAUUUCCGGUGUAGCGGUGAAAUGCGUAGAUAUCGGAAGGAACACCAGUGGCGAAAGCGGCUUCCUGGUCCAGCACCGACGUUCAGGCACGAAAGCGUGGGGAGCAAACAGGAUUAGAUACCCUGGUAGUCCACGCCAUAAACGAUGAGAACUAGACGUUGAGAGGGUAAGCCUCGCAGUGUCGUAGCUAACGCGCUAAGUUCUCCGCCUGGGGAGUACGGCCGCAAGGUUGAAACUCAAAAAAAUUGACGGA